RNAcentral lists this unclassified non-coding RNA (379 nucleotides) under uncultured Oceanospirillales bacterium. RNAcentral describes it as "contains 16S-23S intergenic spacer region". Lineage: Bacteria; Pseudomonadati; Pseudomonadota; Gammaproteobacteria; Oceanospirillales. The record is from RNAcentral.
UCCGAGUUGACCCCGGCAGUCUCCUGCGAGUCCCCACCAUUACGUGCUGGCAAGUAAGGACAAGGGUUGCGCUCGUUACGGGACUUAACCCAACAUCUCACGACACGAGCUGACGACAGCCAUGCAGCACCUGUCACCCGGUUCCCGAAGGCACUCCCGCAUCUCUGCAGGAUUCCGGGGAUGUCAAGACCUGGUAAGGUUCUUCGCGUUGCGUCGAAUUAAACCACAUGCUCCACCGCUUGUGCGGGCCCCCGUCAAUUCAUUUGAGUUUUAAUCUUGCGACCGUACUCCCCAGGCGGUCAACUUACCGCGUUUGCUGCGCCACUAAGGAGACUAAGCUCCCCAACGGCUAGUUGACAUCGUUUACCGCGUGGACUAC